UCGUUAGUAUAGGAAGGAAAUGCAGAUGCUGGUUUAUACCAAAGAUAGACACAAAGUGCUGGAGUAUCUCAGCGGGUCAGGCAGCAUCUUUGGAGAAAAAGGAAGGGUGAUUUUUUGGGUCGGAACCCUUCCUCAGACUGAAAAUAGGGGGGGGUGGGAAUUAGAGGUAGGAAAAGGCCAGAACAAAUCAGGUCCUGAUGUUCAACUAUAACAAUCUCUGCAAUGUUAUUGAGUAAUAUUCACUCCCUGAUGGUAGCGGGUAACUUAUUUUUGUUUCAUUAUUAGAGUCUAACCUUGGUGUUGAGAGGAAGCAGGAAAUAACAUCCUUAAUGUCUCUAAUCAAUUCAUUGAAAAAGCAUAACAGCAACACAGUUUAUUCCCAAUAUUAUCCCCGUCAAUGGGAGGUUCCUUGAGUGUAUUCUGUGUGGGCCCCAUAGUGACACUCAUCAGCAAGACCAUAGAUAAUGCAACCACAAACAGGAAAAGAAUUAGUGGUGGAUAUCUGGCUUAAUACAUUUGACAAGACCACACACAGCUCAAAAUUACUCUAUAGAUUCCUUUGAAAAGCCAGUGCUGUAGGUCUGAAUGAAGGUAAGUAAACAAUGAAAAUGUUGGAUAUGUCAGGCAGUACCAAAGUGGUAUGGGAAGUAGACUGUUCAAGUGUAGACCCUUCCUUCGUUUUCAAGCCUCCUGUAUUUACUGGUGUUAAAGAGUUAAUACUGUGUGGAUUCUUUUGUUACAUCCUCUGCCAACGAGAACAGUUUCUGCAAAGUCUCAAAUGUUAGAGUGUAUCCAAGCUAACCUCCACCAACACCAAGCGAUAUGCGUUGUCAUUUCCCUUAUAUCAACAUGAUUCCAUUGUAUGAAGUCACUUGUAUUUGUGUAUUAUAUUUUAAUUACAACCUACAUUUUCCUUUCCAGUCUAUCAUUACUUUCAGGAUGUAACUGGAGAGAGCGUGUUUUGAAAACAUUCUGCUAUUAUCACAUACUUCCAGUACAAGAAAUGAAGUCAUUUAUGAUUUCCUAAUUGUACUCAAUGACUUUCAUUGGGCCUAGAGAAAUGGAUACAUUUUUUAUUUCCCUUGCAGCCCCCAUCAAAUGUAAUGGGACAGUUCUACCCGUUCUGUAACCCCACGCGUCCCAAAUCUUCUACCAACCACCUAGAAGUUGGAAUUUACAGACCUAUUAACCCACCGACCCGCACAGCUUAGGAUGUGGGUGGAAACUCGAGCAACUGGAGGAAGCCCAAAUAGUCACAGAAAGAAGGUGCAAACUCGACACAGAUAGCUCCAGAGAGAUGCUGCCUGACCCACUGAGUCACUCCAGCAUUUUGUGUCUAUCUUUGGUGUGAACCAGCAUCUGCAGUUCCAUCCUACACAAUCAGUAAGUUGUUUUCAUUUUCAAGAUCUUUGAUUUAGAUGUGUAUUAGUGAGAGAGUGAAGGAGUUAGCAUCUGUGACGAGAGGAAAAGGGUUCUGAGAUUUAAUUCAGAUACUCGGGCAGACUACAUGCUGUGGAUCACAUAAACAUUUGUAACGUAUUCACAUCAACCAUAUAACUUACCGGCCAGGUGCAACAUUGGCCUCAUCCCCCGGAACAACCCAACCCUCGUUUCAAUGGAAGUUCAUGAUCCGUCUGUGUUGGGACUGUGAAAUUAACAGUGAAAAUCACUCAUGCCUGGCAGUAAAUAUCAAUUCUUAUAUACAGACAUUCCUUCAACCGUUCUAGUGGAGGAAGUAGUUCACAGUGGACUGGUUUGUGCCUGAGUCUGAUGUACUUUAUUGAUUCUAUGUAAUUCGAUUGGGAGGAAACAUACAGAGUAUUGCACAUGAUAUGAGGCAGUUGGUAUAAUUGGUAUAAUAUUGCAUACACUCACAUAAAUACAAAGGAAAUAUCACAUCCGUGUCCCUACACCUGUUCUCAACACUCAGGGCAACAGUUUAGUUUAGUUUGGAGAUACAGCGGGGAAACAGGCCCAUCGGCUCACUGAGUCCGUGCCGACCUGCGAUCGUAUAGGCCAGCACUAUCCUACACACUAGGGACAAUUUUUAUGAGGCCAAUUAACCUACAUCUUCUCAGUGUGGGGGGAAACUGGAGCACUGGGGCGGGGUAAAACCCACGUGGGUACAAGCUCCGUACGGACAACAAUCAUAGUCAGGAGUCAGGACCAAUCCAGGUCUCUGGCGUCGUAAGGCAGUAACUCUACGCUGCACCACCGUGCCACCCCUGUUCACUGUUGGUACCAUUGAAUGCAUUUGCUUCACAUCCGAUUGAACAGUAUUUUGCUGUUGAAAAUAGUAACCGAAUGAUAUUUAUUAAUAUUUUCUCUGUUUGCCUGAGUGUGGAGUGAGAAAGAGCACCAAUUCCUCACUUCCACAGUAGGAGUGCAGGUCACCACCAGCCAUAGUGUACCCGCCUGCUCUAGUCAACAUACAUAAUGUCAUAUGGUCAUGGAGACAUUGUAGAGAACAACAGCACCAAAACUGACUCUUCAGCCCCACAAAUCCAUGCUCACCAUCACCACACUUUUCCAUUAAUCCUUCAAUAAUACCAUUUUAUAGUCACAGCAUGGAAACAGGCUCUUCAGCCCAUCGAGUCCGCACCGACCAGCGAUCUCUGCUCAUCAACACUAUCCUACAAACACUUACGGACAUUUUACGUUGAUACCGAGCCAA
This is a long non-coding RNA of Leucoraja erinaceus (little skate), 2674 nucleotides long. RefSeq lists it as uncharacterized. The record is from RefSeq and is a predicted model, not a curated record. The transcript is spliced from 3 exons. NCBI's taxonomy places the organism in Eukaryota, Metazoa, Chordata, Chondrichthyes, Rajiformes, Rajidae.